This 2433-nucleotide long non-coding RNA is filed under the name Sus scrofa (pig). RNAcentral describes it as "lncRNA (ENSSSCG00040042522.1)". The record is from RNAcentral. Lineage: Eukaryota; Metazoa; Chordata; Mammalia; Artiodactyla; Suidae.
CACACUACCUUCAUGUCUAGGCACCAAGGAAAACAAGGCUCUUCAUGGCGUUUAGUUUAUGUGCCGAAAGAUGUGUCCCAGCAGAAACGGAGGAAGAGUCCCUUGAGAUAAACCCUGUAACGCACGUAAAGGAAGAUGCCUGCCACCGAACCGUCCAAGCACACAAACGCCCGUCCUCACCUCCAUCGCCCUCCGUGUAUCCGCAUCCAAUCGAGGCGAAACUUGGCUUCAAAACCUGGCAAACUCCCUUCUCAAAAAGAUGCUCUCCUGUCUCAAACUCCAUAUAUGGAAGGUCUUCGGAAAGAUGAUCUUCAUUGGACAGAUGAGAAAACCAAGGCCCGAAGAGGGAAGAUUCUUGCUCAGGGUCAUGCAGCAAGUUCAAGGACGUAUUACUCAGAAGGUUGGAACCAUUUUUUGACCUGCCAUUCAGAGGUUGUAUUUUAUUAUUAUUAUUUUUUAACUUUUUUUUUGCUUUUUAGGGCCACACCUGCGGCAUAUGGAAGUUCCCAGGCUAGGGGGUCAAAUUGGAGCUACAGUGGCUGACCUUAACCCAGUGAUCAAGGCCAGGAAUUGAACCUGUGUCCUCAUGGAUCCUAGUUGGGGUAGUUUCUGCUGAGUCACAGUGGGAACUCCCAUUCCGAGAUUUAAUCUAUUCAGCUAUUAAACUGCUUUUUUUUUGGGGGGGUGCCUAAUGUUUCCCAAGGGCUUGUAUUUAUGUUACCUUUCAUUCAUUUGAAUCCUUCAUUUUUUCAUUCAGUUGUUCAACAAAUAUUAUUGGGCAUCUAGCAUGAGCCAAGCACAUAGGAGCUGUGGCUGUAGUAGUGGGCAAAGCAGACAUGGUUUGUGCCCUCAUGGAACUUUUGGACUAGUGGUGAAAGUAGACAUUAAACAAAUAAUUACACAUAACUAAGUAAUUACUGACAUGUUAAUUAUCAGAAGAGAGAGUUCAUGGUGUUUUUAUAGAGACCUGACCAAGUGUCAGGGUGAGGCUGGGUGUAUCAGCCAGGUUAGGUUGUGCUUUGCUGUGUAACAAAUAGCCCUCAAACCUCUGGAGUUAACAGCGUGUAUUUGUUUCUCCCUUCUACAGAUCUGCUCCUCCUGUUCACUCAGGAACUGGCUGGGAGAGGCUCCAUUUCAACAUGGCUUACACAUCACAGGAGAAAUUCUUUCUAGCUUUUCUGCUAGAGACAACACAGGUCACUUCCUCUACACUUGUCAUGUGGCCUCACCUAACUUGGAGGCAGAUUGAAGGGGAGAUGCCGGAUGCCUACCAGGGAGAAGCAGGGAAGACUUCUCUGGUUUUAGCAGGGAUCUGAAUUGUGCAUGAGAGUUGACCAGGGAGGGAGUUUCCAUUGUGGCUCAGAGGGUUACUAACCCGACUAGUAUCCAUAAGGAUGUAGGUUUGAUCCCUAGCCUCAUUCAGUGGUUAAGGAUCCAGUGUUGCCAUGAGCUGUGGUAUAUGUUGCAGAUGCGGCUCAGAUCCAAUAUUGCUCCAGCUGUGGUGUAGAAUGGCAGCUGCAGCUCCAAUUUGACCCCUAGACUGGGAACUUCCAGACCCUAAAAAGCAAAAAAAAAAAGGAGUUGUCCAUAGAAAGGGUGACAUGGCAGGGUCUCAGGGAGCAGCUAGGGACUGGCAGCAGUAUGUGUACAGGCUCUGAGUUAGGAAGCAUCACAGCCUAUUUGAGCAGCAGAAGGAAGGCCAGAGUAGCUAGAACCCAGCCAGCAAGGGGAAAGUGGCUUCCAUUCCAAUGGGACUUGGGGAAUUAGAUGCCAGUGGACAACAGUUAGUCAUACCCCUGGGGAGGAGAGUGGCAGCAGAGUUUAUUUUGGUUUCAAUAUGAGAAACCAGUGGGUGGGGAAAGGGGCACAGAGAGUAGACAUCUGUGCCUCUCAACACACCUGCAAGGUGGGCAGAAUGCCCAUUCUAUUGGAAGGAACCUGGACCAGCGAGAUGAGUUGCUUGGCUGGAUGGUUGCAGUUGGUAAGCCUCUCUAGAAUCAGGAUUCAAAGCCUUUCCUUCAGACUCAGACAAUCCCUGGUCCCCACUGGCCACAGGGGUCUCCCCUAAUGUUGGAGGAAUCUUCCAUAUCUUGCAUCGUCGCUCAGCCCCCCGUGGGGCGGUGCUUAGGUUGGCGAAGCUCACUUAUGUUUUAUUGAAGGCCGUGUCUGGGACCAAGCAAGCUCUUUCAUUCACGUUCCCAAUUGCCACGGAGCAUCUGUCUCUGUGUCACGCCUCUGAGAAAACUUUCACAAGAUGAUAUUGAAUCAACAAGGAGGAAAUGUUGGGGGCAUCAAAGAGAAGUUUUAGAAAUGGCUGCUGGAAAAAGCAGGGGUGCCUUUUCCAUGCUGAGCUCCCCAUCUCCCAAUUAGCAUACAAAAACAUUUUUAAAGGAAUAACCUUUGCUAAUAAAACGCUAUAACCUCAAUAAGACA